CCUGGCGGCAGUAGCGCGGUGGUCCCACCUGACCCCAUGCCGAACUCAGAAGUGAAACGCCGUAGCGCCGAUGGUAGUGUGGGGUCUCCCCAUGCGAGAGUAG
This 103-nucleotide ribosomal RNA is filed under the name Escherichia coli. RNAcentral also lists the same sequence under 5 other names. Lineage: Bacteria; Pseudomonadati; Pseudomonadota; Gammaproteobacteria; Enterobacterales; Enterobacteriaceae. The record is from RNAcentral.